This 444-nucleotide long non-coding RNA is filed under the name Homo sapiens (human). RNAcentral's name for it is "HSALNT0373663". Lineage: Eukaryota; Metazoa; Chordata; Mammalia; Primates; Hominidae. The record is from RNAcentral.
UUUUGAAAGACCCAUCUUGUCUGAACUCCACAAAGAAGAAUGGAAGAACUUUUGCCUGUGCUUUGGCCUCAGCAUUAAGGGGGAGUAACUUCCUUUGAAGACCAGGGUGGUGGUAACAAGGAUAUCCAGACUGAAAGAAUGCCAAGAAGGAGGUUUACAGACAAGUGGCUUUCUUCCUUCAAAGGACAAUUUUGUGCAGAUAACCUAGGAAGAAAUAUUGAUGUUCUCUGAAUUUCCCUGAAUUCUUCCCUUGCUUAGACUGCUAGAUCUGUGAAAAAAAAUCCAGCAAACACCGUGAGCAUGGAUCUUUUUCCAUUCCGAAAAAGAAAUUGGUUUUAAAGCAUGGUAACAGCAAUACACUUAAUAUGAAGUUUGAGGAUUUCAGGGCACCUAGAGUUAUCAAGGUAAGAAAUAAUUUAUGGAAAGAUUAUUGGGGAGUGUAGG